This 216-nucleotide ribosomal RNA is filed under the name uncultured bacterium. RNAcentral describes it as "partial 16S ribosomal RNA". It matches the Rfam family "Bacterial small subunit ribosomal RNA", at positions 524 to 735 of the family's 1533-position model. The record is from RNAcentral.
UACGUAGGGUGCGAGCGUUGCCCGGAUUUAUUGGGCGUAAAGGGCGCGUAGGCGGCCACGCACGUCCGUUGUGAAAUCGCCCGGCUCAACUGGGCGGGGUCGGCGGAUACGGCGUGGCUGGAGCAAGCUAGGGGGCAAUGGAAUUCCCGGUGUAGUGGUGGAAUGCGUAGAUAUCGGGGAGGAACACCAGUGGCGGAAGGCGGAGUGGUCCUGGAC